UUUCACAUGCUCAAACUCAAAGUGUGAUGCUGCGUUCACACCAGACGCUGAUGAAGCGUCAAGUGUGAGUUAUUUACAUGUUAAGUCAAUGCAAACACAGGAAUAGACAUCCUGCAGUGCGUUUAGCGCAAAUGGAGUUGAGCAUUUUACACACGAAUUGCUCGAGUUAGAAAAUCUGAACUUCAGCAGACAUUCGCGCCAUGCUUUCCAAUCAGGAUCUUUCUCUUGUAGGGGUGUGAUUAUGACGUAGCACCUGUUGUUGGUGUCCCGAGGGGAAAUCCUCUUGUCAACACCAGACAACAGCUCAUGGCUCAGUCUGAAGCACCGCUGAAAGCCUCCAUCAUCCAGUUUUACGUUAAUCCACAACCAACAGUAAAGGUUCAAACUUAUCCCUUGAGUCUGUUGUCUUUGGGAGAUGUUAUCUGACUGCUGAGUCAAGCAAGGCAUUUGAUAUAAAGAGCAGAACAUGGAGUAUUGAACAUGCACCCUUAAUCUAUUCAAGCAGAUUUUUCCAGAAUGGCAGAGGGCCAUCAGCUUUGCUACAUUGGUGCUGAAACCCAGGAGGGAGGAGGAAUAUGCUGUUGGAGAGCCCUCACCACUGAGAGAAGUUCGUGGCUCCAUCGAGCCGGAGGAGCGAAGUCUACCUCAAUUAACACUGGAGGCCAGCUGGAAAAUGAGAGAGGACCAGGACUGGACAUUUGUGUUUUGUGUGCCUCCUUCUUCCUGAUGGCCAGGGGGCCAUGAACUUUGUUACUCUCACAUAGAGCCAUGAGUUUUGGGUCUGAAAUAAGCUUCAUUCACACAAUGGCAGGGCACAUGUCAGAGAUACAGUGAGGAGCUUUGUCACCUAGGAGGAACCCGGAGUACAGCUGCUGCUCCUCCCCAUUGAAAGAAGUUUGCCUCCUGGACAUCUACCUUUUGGGCUCGUUCAACCGUGAGAAGACCCUGAGGAUGACCCAGGACACACUUGAGGACUAGGUGUCUCUGAAAGUGUCUAGGAAGAGGGAAGUAAGAGGUUCUCUCCAGAAUCUGCUAGGGACAGUAUAUCUCAAAUCAGCAGCAGUAUUG
Molecule: long non-coding RNA, 1068 nt
Organism: Danio aesculapii
Lineage: Eukaryota; Metazoa; Chordata; Actinopteri; Cypriniformes; Danionidae
Exons: 3
Source: RefSeq, a predicted model, not a curated record